Molecule: ribosomal RNA, 465 nt
Filed under: uncultured bacterium
Lineage: Bacteria
Description: partial 16S ribosomal RNA
Rfam family: Bacterial small subunit ribosomal RNA
Source: RNAcentral
GACGAACGCUGGCGGCGUGCUUAACACAUGCAAGUCGAACGGAAAGGCCCUGCUUGCAGGGUACUCGAGUGGCGAACGGGUGAGUAACACGUGGGUGAUUUGCCCUGCACUUCGGGAUAAGCCUGGGAAACUGGGUCUAAUACCGGAUAGGAGCCAUUUUUAGUGUGAUGGUUGGAAAGUUUUUUCGGUGUAGGAUGAGCUCGCGGCCUAUCAGCUUGUUGGUGGGGUAAUGGUCUACCAAGGCGGCGACGGGUAGCCGGCCUGAGAGGGUGGACGGCCACAUUGGGACUGAGAUACGGCCCAGACUCCUACGGGAGGCAGCAGUGGGGAAUAUUGCACAAUGGGCGCAAGCCUGAUGCAGCGACGCCGCGUGGGGGAUGACGGCCUUCGGGUUGUAAACUCCUUUCGCUAGGGACGAAGCUUUUUGUGACGGUACCUAGAUAAGAAGCACCGGCUAACUACGUG